Molecule: ribosomal RNA, 278 nt
Filed under: uncultured Paracoccus sp.
Lineage: Bacteria; Pseudomonadati; Pseudomonadota; Alphaproteobacteria; Rhodobacterales; Paracoccaceae
Description: partial 16S ribosomal RNA
Rfam family: Bacterial small subunit ribosomal RNA
Source: RNAcentral
AACGAACGCUGGCGGCAGGCUUAACACAUGCAAGUCGAGCGAGACCUUCGGGUCUAGCGGCGGACGGGUGAGUAACGCGUGGGAACGUGCCCUUCUCUACGGAAUAGCCCCGGGAAACUGGGAGUAAUACCGUAUACGCCCUUUGGGGGAAAGAUUUAUCGGAGAAGGAUCGGCCCGCGUUGGAUUAGGUAGUUGGUGGGGUAAUGGCCCACCAAGCCGACGAUCCAUAGCUGGUUUGAGAGGAUGAUCAGCCACACUGGGACUGAGACACGGCCCAG